UGGUUCUUUUUAAAGUUGUGGCAGAAGUUACUUGUUCUUCCCCCUGUUUUCAUUUUCAUCAUUUCACUGUCAACCAAGUUGGUUAUAAAACUUGCUUCACCAAGAUUUACUCUUUUACUAAAAUCGAAGCCCGAUCGAGAAAAAUCUUGAAAAUGUCACAAGCUGCAAAAAACCGGCCAGCGGAUUGCUAGACUGCAGAGGAGAAACUGCAUCAAAUUCGAUCAACCUCAUUUAAACUAAGUAGGCGAUUAGAAAGGCGUUCGUGAUGGUAGACAACAAAGUUAAUGAUCACUCCAUCGUGGAGAUUACGGAUGAGGACAGAGAUGUGAUUGCACGAAUCAAUGGGAAUUCGGAAACAUCGCGUGAACAUAAAAAUCAAGUGGAAUUGACAGUAUCAUCUCUUCGAGGAAAGCUUCACCGGCAGCCUCCAUUCCCAGCUUGUAGCUGCAUAUUUCGAGUCCCUAAAGUACUACGCAGGCAUAACGAAAAAGCUUUUGUUCCAAAUUUGGUUUCAAUAGGGCCUUUUCACCACGGAGAUGAGAACUUGCGAGUGAUGGAAGAAAUCAAACGGUGGUACUUACAUUGGCUACUUGAACGAAACCAACUCCGAAGACCAGCUUGGAGUGCUUUG
Malus domestica (apple) is the source of this 631-nucleotide non-coding RNA. The record is from RefSeq and is a predicted model, not a curated record. NCBI's taxonomy places the organism in Eukaryota, Viridiplantae, Streptophyta, Magnoliopsida, Rosales, Rosaceae.